GUGCCAGCCGCCGCGGUAAUACGAAGGGGGCUAGCGUUGUUCGGAAUUACUGGGCGUAAAGCGCACGUAGGCGGAUAUUUAAGUCAGGGGUGAAAUCCCAGAGCUCAACUCUGGAACUGCCUUUGAUACUGGGUAUCUUGAGUAUGGAAGAGGUAAGUGGAAUUGCGAGUGUAGAGGUGAAAUUCGUAGAUAUUCGCAGGAACACCAGUGGCGAAGGCGGCUUACUGGUCCAUUACUGACGCUGAGGUGCGAAAGCGUGGGGAGCAAACAGGAUUAGAAACCCCUGUAGUCC
This 292-nucleotide ribosomal RNA is filed under the name uncultured bacterium. RNAcentral describes it as "partial 16S ribosomal RNA". It matches the Rfam family "Bacterial small subunit ribosomal RNA", at positions 505 to 796 of the family's 1533-position model. The record is from RNAcentral.